GCGCGAUCUCGGCUCACGCCAUUCUCCUGCCUCAGCCUCCCGAGUAGCUGGGACCACGGGCACCCGCCACCACGCCCGGCUAAUUUUUUGUAUCUUUUAAUAGAGACGGGGUUUCACCGUGUUAGCCAGGAUGGUCUCCAUCUCCUGAUCUCAUGAUGUGCCUGCCUCGGCCUCCCAAAGUGCUGGGAUUACAGGCAUGAGCCACCACGCCCUGCCAAUCUGGCUUUCUUAAUGAUGUAGGUUUUUCUCUUAGAAAGAACAUCCACCACAUUUCCAUACCUAUUUUUGAACAACAAGACAGGUUUUCAGAACUCAUGUUCUUCAUUAGUCAAAUUCACCCCUGCCCCACCUCACCAUGCCUGCCUUCAGUCCUAAGACUGAGGAUGAGUUCUGCAGGCACCAGCUGCUUUGUUCCUUAUAAAUAGGGGUUUCCCAGCUAGUCUGGAGUGAUGAGU
Molecule: long non-coding RNA, 455 nt
Filed under: Pan troglodytes (chimpanzee)
Lineage: Eukaryota; Metazoa; Chordata; Mammalia; Primates; Hominidae
Description: long non-coding RNA NONPTRT014459
Source: RNAcentral